RNAcentral lists this ribosomal RNA (2262 nucleotides) under Triticum aestivum (bread wheat). Its description in RNAcentral is "partial small subunit ribosomal RNA". Lineage: Eukaryota; Viridiplantae; Streptophyta; Magnoliopsida; Poales; Poaceae. The record is from RNAcentral.
UACCCCGACAAGAGGAGAAGAGGAAAGGUUUUUCGUUUCAAUACGUGGUCAUAACGUCGUAAUUGUGAGGUCGAAUAUCACCGUUGUAAUCGUCGAGGUUAUCGGAACGCACCAACGGGCCUCCAUACACCGUCGUAUCGACAGGGGAUGGGAAAGCCGGAGGCCGUUCCCACGAAGGCGCGCCCGAAGUUGGAGUGCACGCUGCUAUGCGUGGUCGGUGGCUUCGACAACCACCCACUACCGAACCUUCACCAACUAUAAAGAGAGUGCCUACCAUGCCACGCCUAGGUGUCGUUCUACCACUCAUAGACCGACUUGUGUUCGAGAUUAGUUAGUCUACCGUACACCAGGCGACCGGACUGCCUACUCCCGGGGGACUCUCACAGGUAGCCAGUGUUGGCCAAGCAACGAUACCCUACGUUACAGAAUCGGUCGGAGAAACGGAGAAAACCGCUGAUAGAAUCACAGACACGGCACAUAACACGACUGCCUGGCCCCCACUCGCUGUGGAGUACAAGACCACAACCGACGACGGUCUGUGGGUAGCGUGCCGAUCUAAAGGGCAGGAUACAGAAGGUCAAACCACGAAACUUGGUCUCUUGGCCACUAAGCAACCCUAUACCUCGCCACAAGUAUCGACUGGUUCUCACCAACCGGUCUCUCCCUGGGUACGACGUCAACUUAAUGAAACUGUUGGGUGUAUUCUAACAACUAAGGUGAAACUAGGGUUGCCACCAUCUUACCAGUGAAGUACACCCUAUACUGCCCGUUAACAUGACCCCUACCCUACUGAAACUGAAUAUACUUGUGUCCCCUAGGUAUUCACAUUUGACGAAGUAUCAGCGUCUACCAGAAAUAUAGGCUUGCCGUCUACCAGAAAUAUAGGUUUUCCGUGCCACGUUGACGAGGUUUCCUAUGCUCCCGUUGGGAAUGUAGCGUUUACCUACGGUUCUAUAACUACUCACGGUUGCCGGUCUAUAAAUAGGUACGGUACCUUGGACGUAGUUACACGGCCCCUGCAUGGCUACGGAACGUUUCUUUCCAUAGUGCUCGGAGGGUCCAGACUAAUGACAUUAACGUUAAUCACGACCAAGACCGUAUGACAAACGUGAAGACCCAUAACGGUUUUAGUGGUUAUUUGAGUUCGUUGCUUCUCGGUUCUUCAACUCUGUUUUCAAGAAGUUCUUUUUAGUACCUAACGAAGACGUUGUCGAUUAGAGAAGUUUGUUUCUGUAUCGUCUUUCUUGCUCCUAAAAGUCGAACCUUCUCGACCUCGUUCGUUGGUUGUUUAAACUGGUCUUAGCGUAGGAACCACCGCCACCGGUACCGUGACAGAUGUUUCCGUAGAAUAGACUAGUUGUACACCACCGGUAGUUCUUCCGAUUUUAACAUCAAGUUUCCCUUUAGCUGGUCAAGUAUUUACUCCAACAGUAUGAAAGUGUCUGUUUGGUAUCCUUACACCACUUAGAAAAACCAACGACGGAACUCUGUCUUCAAGGAGAUGAACAAAUGCUCAAAUAUAGUUUACCUUGAGAGAGUAAAGUAGAGGUACCGGUUUCACUCUUCGGAAACAGUACCUUUCUAUCUAACUUUUAACGUAACCUCUGACGUUCCCGAUAACGUAUAGACGUGAGACGACGAAGGUAUAGUCAUAUGGUAUCUCUAUAGUUUACGCGUUUAUAUAACGAAUGACUAUGAAAUUGUCGUUUUCAUAGUCUAAAACCUCGAAGUUCCAGUUAACGUUAUCUACUCUGUCCUUAUGAAUGUCGGCAGGUUCCUUGAAUACCAAUGGAACUAGGACUUAUGAUGAUAUGGUCAGCUGAGUGCCUCUUCUCGCUACAAAUGUCGAAACCACAAUAGGAUCGUCUCGAUGACUGCUCCCACUGUGGUCAAAAAAGAAGAGUAAGCAACCUUUCGUGUUCGGAACGUAGUGUAAAACACAGUGAAUAUUCCCUGUUAGCUAAGAAUCUAUAAGAUCUAUGUGUUUAACAACUCCUCCCUCCCCGGCUUCUACGACUCCACCAACGUUCUGAGUGUCUUCGUACGAAUGCAAAUUUUCCACUUCUUUCCGGAUGUUACUCUGUUCACCUCUGUUGUGAACUUCUACACGUCUUGAAUUUCCAGUUAGAGUCAAGAGUAUAGUGUUCUCUCUUGGUCUUACGAUAUUUACUAGUCAGUAUGUUCCCUUCGUUUCCAUCGCUUCCUUGAUCCGACAUGUCGAACCUUUUUCUCAAGUUGGUUAGUAGACUUUAAGGUUCUACU